GACGAACGCUGGCGGCGUGCUUAACACAUGCAAGUCGAACGGAAAGGCCCUGCUUUUGUGGGGUGCUCGAGUGGCGAACGGGUGAGUAACACGUGAGUAACCUGCCCUUGACUUUGGGAUAACUUCAGGAAACUGGGGCUAAUACCGGAUAGGAGCUCCUGCUGCAUGGUGGGGGUUGGAAAGUUUCGGCGGUCGGGGAUGGACUCGCGGCUUAUCAGCUUGUUGGUGGGGUAGUGGCUUACCAAGGCUUUGACGGGUAGCCGGCCUGAGAGGGUGACCGGGCACAUUGGGACUGCGAUACGGACCAGACUCCUACGGGAGGCAGCAGUGGGGAGUAUUGCACAAUGGGCGGAAGCCUGAUGCAGCAACGCCGCGUUCGUGAUGACGGCCUUCUGGUUGUAAACCGCUUUCGCCUGUGACGAAGCGUGAGUGACGGUAAUGGGUAAAGAAGCACCGGCUAACUACGUG
This 468-nucleotide ribosomal RNA is filed under the name uncultured bacterium. RNAcentral describes it as "partial 16S ribosomal RNA". It matches the Rfam family "Bacterial small subunit ribosomal RNA", at positions 28 to 507 of the family's 1533-position model. The record is from RNAcentral.